CCAAUAGCGUAUAUUAAAGUUGUUGCAGUUAAAAAGCUCGUAGUUGAAUUUCGGGAUUGACGUGAUGGUCGUGCCUUACGGGGUAUGAACUGUUGCUGUUGAUUUCUCACCUUCUGGAGAAACUUGAUGUCCUUAAUUGGGUGUCUUGCGGAUCCAGGACCUUUACCUUGAAAAAAUUAGUGUGUUUAAAGCAGGCAUUUUGCUCGAAUACAUUAGCAUG
Molecule: ribosomal RNA, 220 nt
Filed under: uncultured Entrophospora
Lineage: Eukaryota; Fungi; Glomeromycota; Glomeromycetes; Entrophosporales; Entrophosporaceae
Description: uncultured Claroideoglomus partial small subunit ribosomal RNA
Rfam family: Eukaryotic small subunit ribosomal RNA
Source: RNAcentral